CCUACGGGUGGCUGCAGUCGAGAAUCUUGGGCAAUGCACGAAAGUGUGACCCAGCGACGCCGCGUGAAGGAUGAAGGCCCUUUGGGUCGUAAACUUCUUUUAUGAGGAAAGAAAAGCCUUUGGGCCUUGACGGUACCUCAUGAAUAAGCCACGGCUAACUACGUGCCAGCAGCCGCGGUAAUACGUAGGUGGCAAGCGUUGUCCGGAUUUACUGGGCGUAAAGCGUAUGCAGGCGGAUGAUUAAGUUUGAAGUGAAAGGUUGCCGCUCAACGGCA
Molecule: ribosomal RNA, 275 nt
Filed under: uncultured bacterium
Lineage: Bacteria
Description: partial 16S ribosomal RNA
Rfam family: Bacterial small subunit ribosomal RNA
Source: RNAcentral